UCGUCAGCUCGUGUCGUGGGAUGUUGGGUUAAGUCCGUAACGAGCGCAACCCUUGUCCUUAGUUACCACGCACGUUAUGGUGGGCACUCUAAGGAGACUGCCGGUGACAACCGGAGGAAGGUGGGGAUGACGUCAAGUCAUCAUGGCCCUUACGGCCUGGGCUACACACGUGCUACAAUGGUCGGUACAAAGGGUUGCCAAGCCGCGAGGUGGAGCUAAUCCCAUAAAACCGAUCGUAGUCCGGAUCGCAGUCUGCAACUCGACUGCGUGAAGUCGGAAUCGCUAGUAAUCGUGAAUCAGAAUGUCACGGUGAAUACGUUCCCGGGCCUU
RNAcentral lists this ribosomal RNA (330 nucleotides) under uncultured Pseudomonas sp. RNAcentral describes it as "bacterial SSU rRNA". It matches the Rfam family "Bacterial small subunit ribosomal RNA", at positions 1052 to 1382 of the family's 1533-position model. Lineage: Bacteria; Pseudomonadati; Pseudomonadota; Gammaproteobacteria; Pseudomonadales; Pseudomonadaceae. The record is from RNAcentral.